GACGAACGCUUGCGGCGUGCCUAAGAAAUGCAAGUCGAGCGAGAACCAACCUUCGGGUGAAGUUCUAGCGGCGAACGGUCGCGUAACACGUAAGCAACCUGCCCUAAAGUUGGGGAUAGCCCUCCGAAAGGAGGAUUAAUACCGAAUGUGGACAUAUUUUCGCAUGUUUAUAUGUCUAAAGCAGCGAUGCGCUUUAGGAUGGGCUUGCGGUCUAUCAGCUAGUUGGUGUGGGUAACGGCCUACCAAGGCGACGACGGGUAGCUGGUCUGAGAGGAUGGUCAGCCGGAUUGGGACUGAGACACGGCCCAGACUCCUACGGGGGGCAGCAAUUAGGAAUCUUGCGCAAUGGGCGAAAGCCUGACGCAGCGACGCCGCGUGACUGAUGAAGUCUUUCGGGAUGUAAAGGUCUUUUGCAGGGGACGAAGGAAGUGACGGUACCCUGCGAAUAAGCCCCGGCUAACUACGUG
RNAcentral lists this ribosomal RNA (467 nucleotides) under uncultured bacterium. RNAcentral's name for it is "bacterial SSU rRNA". It matches the Rfam family "Bacterial small subunit ribosomal RNA", at positions 28 to 507 of the family's 1533-position model. The record is from RNAcentral.